RNAcentral lists this ribosomal RNA (1340 nucleotides) under Sanghuangporus sanghuang. RNAcentral describes it as "16S ribosomal RNA". It matches the Rfam family "Bacterial small subunit ribosomal RNA". Lineage: Eukaryota; Fungi; Basidiomycota; Agaricomycetes; Hymenochaetales; Hymenochaetaceae. The record is from RNAcentral.
GAAUUUAAUUUUGGUUCCGAUUGAACGUUCUUCAGUAGUUUUAAGACAUGCAAAUCGUUUGUACAUGGUUAAUCAAUAUUAAUAAUAAUAUUAAUUAAAAUUAAGUAUAAAUUACUUAAAUUUAUGGUUUAAAUGUACAAGGUGUACGGGUGAGUAUUGUAAUUGAGAUACCCUUGUAGACUUCAGAAAUAGAAGAUAAUUCUUUUCCAAAAUAGUAUGUAUAAUACUUAUUAUUUUGAAGCUUAUUAAGACUUAAGAUAUCUUAAAAAGUAAAAAAGAAUAAAACAAAAGUAAACUUUUAAGAAAAGAAAGGGAAAUUUUCCGCAACAAGGAUUCAAUUUACAUUCGAUUAGGUAGUUGGAAGGGUAGAGGCCUCCCAAGCCGACGAUCGAUAGUCAAGUUUGAUAGAACUAAUGACCACAUUGGGAAUGAAAUACCCCAAGUAGCGUUUUGCUACCAGCAGUCAAGAAUAUUAGUCAAUGCUCGCAAGAGUGAACUAGCUAACUGAAAUCCUUGGUGUGUCAUCGAGGAUAAGGUAAGGGAAAAUAAUGAUAAUACCUUAUUAAUAGUGUCGUCCAACAUCUCGUGCCAGAAGACUCGGUAAGGCGAGAGACACAAACGUUAGUCGUCUUGAUCAGGCGUAAAGGGUUUGUAGGCGGCUUUAAGUAUCUAUUUUUAACAAUGUUAACACGAAAACCAUUCCGCCUUGUGAGUACGACUGCAAAGUUGAAAACAAAAAAAUUAGUCGGUUUCGGAGCAAACGAAGUGAAGCAUGUUAUUUAAUGCGAUAAUCCGCGUAAAACCUUACCAGUUCUUGUAUAUAAACUUUAUGCUUUUGUAUAAAGGAGUUUUUUACUAUUUAAUAAGAAUUAAAUAAUAAAAGCUUAUUACAGGUGUUGCAUGGCUGUCUUCAGUCCGUAUCGUGAGGUGUAAGGUUAAAUCCGUUAACGGACGCAAUCCCUAUUGUUAAUUUGUACUUAACAAUUCAUGAUUCUGAUAAAGUUUCAUUUGGGGCUAAGACAAGUCCUUAUGGCCCUAAUGAACUGGGCUAUAGACGUGCUAUAAUGAUUUUUACAAAGUGAAGCAAAACUCCUCUUAUCUUUUUUUAAAGAAAGUUUUAGUAUUUGACUUUAAAAUCAAUAAAACUUAAAAGAGCAAAAGGAUAAGCUAAUCAUUAAAAAAAAUCAAAAUAAUAAAUUAAUGUUACGAAUUGUCACCUGAAAUUCGGUGGCAUGAAGGAGGAAUUUCGAGUAAUCGUUGAUCAUUAGGCGCAACGGUGAAGCUUAAAUCCGAGAUGAACUAACUGUCUGUCGCUGGGAAGAAGCUUAUUUUGGUGGAAA